UUAAACUUAGAGCUGAGAAUUCAUUAACAGCAUUUGUUUGAGAAUUGAUUAAUUGCUUCUGUUUCAUAAUUGGUUAAUGCUUCUGAAACUUGGAGUUGAGAAUUGAUUAAUAGCUUUUGAAAUUUACUUUUAAAAUGGUGCUUUGUAAGACUAUGAUUAGUUGAGUGAAAAUUCCUUUUUUCAGUUUAUCCGAAAGAAACUAUUAGUUUAGUGAUCAUUUGAGAAAUCUUCUCAAUCUAGCAUAUUCUACGCCAUCUUUUGACUAGUGUGAGAAACAUAUCUUCUUCAAUUAUUGUAGAAACUCAUCUUAUGGAUGUAAAAUGGAUACGCGGG
RNAcentral lists this long non-coding RNA (333 nucleotides) under Solanum tuberosum (potato). RNAcentral's name for it is "long non-coding RNA (STUB_LNC004783)". The record is from RNAcentral. Lineage: Eukaryota; Viridiplantae; Streptophyta; Magnoliopsida; Solanales; Solanaceae.